This 397-nucleotide ribosomal RNA is filed under the name uncultured bacterium. RNAcentral describes it as "bacterial SSU rRNA". It matches the Rfam family "Bacterial small subunit ribosomal RNA", at positions 521 to 916 of the family's 1533-position model. The record is from RNAcentral.
UAAUACGGGGGGUGCAAGCGUUAAUCGGAAUUACUGGGCGUAAAGGGUGCGUAGGUGGUUAUAUAAGUUAGCUGUGAAAUUCCUGGGCUUAACCUAGGGGGGUCAGCUAAGACUGUGUGACUAGAGUAUGGGAGAGGGUAGUGGAAUUUCCGGUGUAGCGGUGAAAUGCGUAGAGAUCGGAAGGAACACCAGUGGCGAAGGCGGCUACCUGGCCUAAUACUGACACUGAGGCACGAAAGCGUGGGGAGCAAACAGGAUUAGAUACCCUGGUAGUCCACGCUGUAAACGAUGUCAACUAGCUGUUGGCCUUAUAAAAGAGGUUAGUGGCGCAGCAAACGCGAUAAGUUGACCGCCUGGGGAGUACGGUCGCAAGAUUAAAACUUAAAUGAAUUGACGG